AAUAGAUACCCCGGUAGUCCACGCCGUAAACGAUGAGUGCUAAGUGUUAGGGGGUUUCCGCCCCUUAGUGCUGCAGCUAACGCAUUAAGCACUCCGCCUGGGGAGUACGGUCGCAAGACUGAAACUCAAAGGAAUUGACGGGGGCCCGCACAAGCGGUGGAGCAUGUGGUUUAAUUCGAAGCAACGCGAAGAACCUUACCAGGUCUUGACAUCCCAUUGACCGCUAUGGAGACAUAGCUUUCCCUUCGGGGACAGUGGUGACAGGUGGUGCAUGGUUGUCGUCAGCUCGUGUCGUGAGAUGUUGGGUUAAGUCCCGCAACGAGCGCAACCCUUGUUCUUAGUUGCCAUCAUUUAGUUGGGCACUCUAAGGAGACUGCCGGUGACAAACCGGAGGAAGGUGGGGAUGACGUCAAAUCAUCAUGCCCCUUAUGACCUGGGCUACACACGUGCUACAAUGGACGGUACAAACGGUUGCCAACCCGCGAGGGGAGUUAAUCCGAUAAAACCGUUCUCAGUUCGGAUUGUAGGCUGCAACUCGCCUACA
RNAcentral lists this ribosomal RNA (544 nucleotides) under uncultured bacterium. RNAcentral describes it as "bacterial SSU rRNA". It matches the Rfam family "Bacterial small subunit ribosomal RNA", at positions 777 to 1320 of the family's 1533-position model. The record is from RNAcentral.